This 66-nucleotide transfer RNA is filed under the name Calolamprodes beybienkoi. RNAcentral describes it as "tRNA-Leu". It matches the Rfam family "tRNA". From Rfam's summary of the family: Transfer RNA (tRNA) molecules are approximately 80 nucleotides in length. Their secondary structure includes four short double-helical elements and three loops (D, anti-codon, and T loops). Lineage: Eukaryota; Metazoa; Arthropoda; Insecta; Blattodea; Blaberidae. The record is from RNAcentral.
ACUAUUUUGGCAGAUAAGUGUAUUAGAUUUAGAAUCUAAAAAUGUAAUUUAUUAUUACGGAUAGUA